UCGUUUAGCGGUUGGUGGUUGUCGUGCGGGAACUUGAAAAUGUAUCUAUUAGCGAUGUUCUCAAAGCUAAAUAAGAUUAUAUUCGAAGAACAACGUCGGCGUGCUGAAAUGCAAUGAAUGCCACAACUACACAUCAUGUGUCUGAGUGUCGUCCUGUAUGUACUUCAGGUAAGUAUGCGUCCUGUGUUACGUAAACGAAUUAUGAAAAUGUGGUAGCUGUUCACAGUUAUGCUUCUUCAAGAGAGUUUCUGUUCGUAAGUGGACCUUUGUAUUCAAAGAAGUCUAACUUCUUUGAAGAAGAGGAACUUCAAAUUGACGAUAAGUGAAAUAGUAUUUUGGAUAGGACGUUUUGUUAAUUAAUGUUAACAGCAUUGCAGAAUAGUCUGGCUUUGAUAAACGCACUGCAGAUGACGAAGGUGGCAAGUUACCUAAAGGCUAGCAUCACUCGGCAUGGCUCUGGAAUGAGAAGUCAACUGUGCAGGUUGUGGUAAGGAGGUACCCUGCACUGGUAAGUUUCAAUGGGGUAGGUAUUACCGCCGUUCUGUAUUAUCAUUCACGUGUAUCCUGCCGACGACAAGUGGUGUCAGUGCAUGGGCGGAUCCAGUCCGUGUCGCUUUUGUUGUUGUUGUUUUGGGGAGGGGCGGUUUGUUUGUCGAAGCCCCUAAGUGGGUACGGGAGUGGGGGACACCUCUGCUAAACCUACUGUUUUGAGCUGGGGGGGGGGGGGGGAUCGCCCAACCGUCCCUCCCCUCGGAUCCGCCACUGCAUCAGUGUUGAGUUCUAAUGCUGUUGUUACUGUUUCAGAUUUACGAGUUGUUUGCACGGCACAUUGGGCAGACAGAGAAAAGAAAGUGCUGCUCCACCUCCACAAAGAAUGGAUGCACAUUGCGAGGAAGAGAAAGGGACUAGUUAGAGUAAUGAUCAGCUCAUAAAUGAGAAUAUUAUUGAUGAACAAGAUAAUUAUUACCCAGCAUGAGUAAUUCAUGCCCUUGCUCAUCUGCUGAAGGACGUGCAUCUGACCUUUUCACUUGUGUAAGUGCUCAUCUUAUUACAGGCGUUUUACAAUAGAUAUAUUGGGAAGUGUAUACACAUAUCUAUUUUAGGCAAGAUAUUCUUGUAGCUCCAAACUGUGAAUUGCAUAUGACAGCAUUUUCUCAUAUAAGGCAACUACCCUUCUGCCAAGAAAAAAGAAAAAUCUAAAGUACAUGUACUGCACUUGAUGCUUCAGCCAGAUGCACUUCAAAAGGCGCGUCUCCCCUGCUUUCUCAUGAAAAAGCAGAAAAGUGGGUGCCGAUAUGCCAAAUUCCUAUGCACUGAUAUGUUAAUGUAUAGUGACAGAUGAACUUCGAAUAACUGUUUUGUUUCCUGUUUGUAGGAGUUGGAAGUAUAUGCCAGGUGAUAGUUGCAUUGGGUGUGUGGCAACCUUAUACUGCAAGAAUGUACUUGUACCUGUGGCAUCUUACCAGUUGUUUUCAUAGGAUCAUAUUAAGCACUGAAAGCUUCCUUUUUCUGUUCUUGCCAGUUUGUACCAGAGACACAAUAAAUGUUUCUCAUUUAGA
Molecule: long non-coding RNA, 1559 nt
Organism: Ornithodoros turicata
Lineage: Eukaryota; Metazoa; Arthropoda; Arachnida; Ixodida; Argasidae
Exons: 2
Source: RefSeq, a predicted model, not a curated record